This 460-nucleotide ribosomal RNA is filed under the name uncultured bacterium. RNAcentral's name for it is "partial 16S ribosomal RNA". It matches the Rfam family "Bacterial small subunit ribosomal RNA", at positions 338 to 795 of the family's 1533-position model. The record is from RNAcentral.
CCUACGGGUGGCAGCAGUGAGGAAUAUUGGUCAAUGGACGAGAGUCUGAACCAGCCAAGUAGCGUGAAGGAUGACUGCCCUAUGGGUUGUAAACUUCUUUUAUAAAGGAAUAAAACGAGGCACGUGUGCCUUUUUGCAUGUACUUUAUGAAUAAGGAUCGGCUAACUCCGUGCCAGCAGCCGCGGUAAUACGGAGGAUCCGAGCGUUAUCCGGAUUUAUUGGGUUUAAAGGGAGCGUAGAUGGGUUGUUAAGUCAGUUGUGAAAGUUUGCGGCUCAACCGUAAAAUUGCAAUUGAUACUGGCAGUCGUGAGUACAGUUGAGGUAGGCGGAAUUCGUGGUGUAGCGGUGAAAUGCUUAGAUAUCACGAAGAACUCCGAUUGCGAAGGCAGCUUACUAAACUGUGACUGACAUUGAUGCUCGAAAGUGUGGGUAUCAAACAGGAUUAGAUACCCUUGUAGUC